Molecule: ribosomal RNA, 531 nt
Filed under: Colletotrichum sp. HS-EF5
Lineage: Eukaryota; Fungi; Ascomycota; Sordariomycetes; Glomerellales; Glomerellaceae
Description: eukaryotic LSU rRNA
Rfam family: 5.8S ribosomal RNA (bases 156-309)
Source: RNAcentral
CUUUACCUUGUGACAUACCUAUAACUGUUGCUUCGGCGGGUAGGGUCUCCGCGACCCUCCCGGCCUCCCGCCUCCGGGCGGGUCGGCGCCCGCCGGAGGAUAACCAAACUCUGAUUUAACGACGUUUCUUCUGAGUGGUACAAGCAAAUAAUCAAAACUUUUAACAACGGAUCUCUUGGUUCUGGCAUCGAUGAAGAACGCAGCGAAAUGCGAUAAGUAAUGUGAAUUGCAGAAUUCAGUGAAUCAUCGAAUCUUUGAACGCACAUUGCGCCCGCCAGCAUUCUGGCGGGCAUGCCUGUUCGAGCGUCAUUUCAACCCUCAAGCUCUGCUUGGUGUUGGGGCCCUACAGCUGAUGUAGGCCCUCAAAGGUAGUGGCGGACCCUCCCGGAGCCUCCUUUGCGUAGUAACUUUACGUCUCGCACUGGGAUCCGGAGGGACUCUUGCCGUAAAACCCCCCAAUUUUCCAAAGGUUGACCUCGGAUCAGGUAGGAAUACCCGCUGAACUUAAGCAUAUCAAUAGCCCGGAAGGAA